UGGGGAAUAUUGGACAAUGGGCGAAAGCCUGAUCCAGCCAUGCCGCGUGUGUGAAGAAGGUCUUCGGAUUGUAAAGCACUUUAAGUUGGGAGGAAGGGCAGUAAGCGAAUACCUUGCUGUUUUGACGUUACCGACAGAAUAAGCACCGGCUAACUCUGUGCCAGCAGCCGCGGUAAUACAGAGGGUGCAAGCGUUAAUCGGAAUUACUGGGCGUAAAGCGCGCGUAGGUGGUUCGUUAAGUUGAAUGUGAAAGCCCCGGGCUCAACCUGGGAACAGCAUCCAAAACUGGCGAGCUAGAGUAGGGCAGAGGGUGGUGGAAUUUCCUGUGUAGCGGUGAAAUGCGUAGAUAUAGGAAGGAACACCAGUGGCGAAGGCGACCACCAGGGCUCAUACUGACACUGAGGUGCGAAAGCGUGGGGAGCAAACAGG
Molecule: ribosomal RNA, 429 nt
Filed under: Pseudomonadota bacterium
Lineage: Bacteria; Pseudomonadati; Pseudomonadota
Description: Proteobacteria bacterium partial 16S ribosomal RNA
Rfam family: Bacterial small subunit ribosomal RNA
Source: RNAcentral